UCCCUGGCUCGCCGGCUGGCGUCGCCACCGCCUCCUCGUCCCCGGCCACCGCUGUCGCCGCUGCUGCAAUUCAAGGCGCACACUAUUCCACUUUCCCGCUGGAGGCGCAGAGGAUGCCCCUUGAGCCAGACCUGGAGAAAUAGCCCCAGGGCCCGGCAGGAGGAGCCUUGGUGGCGAGAAAGGAAAUCCAGGCUCCUCUUUCCUUAAAGCCACUGCAGCAGCUGGGAAGGCGCCCACAGAGCGGGCGCGCCAAGCGGGACGCGGGAGUCGCAGAGAGGGACCCGAGGCGCCUGCUGAGCUCCGCUGGCAGAGUUUGCAAGUGGCAGACCCUUCAGUUUAUAGUCUACUGAGGUGAUUAAACAGCUGGAUUAAGAGUUUCCAUCCUGGAGUCAAACAGACUGAAUUCGAAUCCCCAUUUCACCUCUAACCAGCUGUGUGACCUUGGGCAAGUUACUUCCCUUCUCUGGGCUUGAGUGUACCUGCUUGUACACUGAAGUACAAGGAGGCAUCCCUGAGUCCUGAUGCCUGACUGGAUGGAGGCCCACCAGCUUCUGUUCC
This 558-nucleotide small RNA is filed under the name Pongo abelii (Sumatran orangutan). RNAcentral's name for it is "processed transcript". Lineage: Eukaryota; Metazoa; Chordata; Mammalia; Primates; Hominidae. The record is from RNAcentral.